This 1246-nucleotide long non-coding RNA is filed under the name Sus scrofa (pig). Its description in RNAcentral is "lncRNA (ENSSSCG00055023564.1)". The record is from RNAcentral. Lineage: Eukaryota; Metazoa; Chordata; Mammalia; Artiodactyla; Suidae.
AUGGAUGAGUCUAAAUUUUUUCCUAUCAUUUAUCUUCAGCAAAUACAUUUUAGGUAUUCAACAAGUAAUUUGACUAAUGGAUAUAUUCCAAUGUUUCUCUUUCAGUUUGUUCUCAGAAAAUUGGUUAGGAAUUCAUCCACUGCCCACAUACCCAUAAGAAACAAAGAAAAUAAAAGAUACAGAAGAAAAUUGAGCUCUUUGGAUGCAUUUAAGAAAAUGUAUGGCAAUCGUGGGACAAGAUCCUAGAGAGAAGCGAAGCACAUUGAGAUGACUCCUACAGGAAAGCCACUGAUUUUCCUCUUGAGAACUUGCUGAUUCAGAUUGUGGGACAUAGAGUUGCAUGGGGCUGCCUGGAGCUUAAAAUGGUCUUUCUCUGCCAGGAAAACCAAAACUGGAGGUUCAGCUUCCCAGGUCAGCCAUGAAAUGAGGGACCAAUAUCUGGAAGAAAGGGAGCCACGGGAAUAUCUAAGGCAAAAUGCAAUAACUGAAAUCAAGAAUUUAAUGAUAUGUUUAAUAGUAAACUAGACAAAGCAAAGAGGAGGAUGAAUGAAUUACAACGCAAGUUAGCAAAAAAAAUGGUCAGACUAAAACACAGAGAAAAAAGGACUGGGAAAACAGAACAGAAGACAAGAGCCACAUGAGACAUUGUAAAAUGAUCUGCUGUAACUGGAAUCACAGAAUAGAAAUCAGACACCAAUAUAAUUAUGUCUUAAAAUGUUGAAGUAAUAUGUUUUCAAUCCUAGAAUUAUAUAUCUAGUUAAAAUAUCCUUUUAAAAAUGAAGGUGAAAAAAAGGUAGAUCAAACAAAAGCUGAGAGAAUUGGUCAUCAACUGAUACACACUAAGAGAAAUACUAAAGAUAGCUUUUCAAGGAGUUCCCGUCGUGGCGCAAAGGAAACGAAUCUGACUAGGAUCCAUGAGGAUACAGGUUCAAUCCCUGGCCUCUCUCAGUGGGUUAAGGAUCUGGAGUUGCCAUGAGCUGUGGUGUAAGUUGCAGACACAGCUCUGAUCUGGUAUUGCUGUGGCUGUGGUUGUAGGCCAGCUACAGCUCUGAUUCAACCCCUAGCCUGGGAAUCUCCAUAUGCCAUGGGUACAGACCUAAAAAGCAAAAGCAAAAAGAUAGCUUUUCAGUCAGAAGAAAUAAGAUUGCAGAUGAAAGCACCAGAAAGCAGGAAAACAGAGUUGCCAUUGUGGUUUAGUGGAAACAAAUCUGACUACUACCCGUGAGGUUUUGGGUUCGAUCCUUGG